RNAcentral lists this ribosomal RNA (433 nucleotides) under uncultured bacterium. Its description in RNAcentral is "partial 16S ribosomal RNA". It matches the Rfam family "Bacterial small subunit ribosomal RNA", at positions 29 to 507 of the family's 1533-position model. The record is from RNAcentral.
AACGAACGCUGGCGGCAUGCCUAACACAUGCAAGUCGAACGAGACCUUCGGGUCUAGUGGCGCACGGGUGCGUAACGCGUGGGAACCUGCCCUUAGGUUCGGAAUAACUCCCCGAAAGGGGUGCUAAUACCGGAUAAUGUCUUCGGCCCAAAGGUUUGUCGCCGUUGGAUGGGCCCGCGUUGGAUUAGCUAGUUGGUAGGGUAAAAGCCUACCAAGGCGAGGAUCCAUAGCUGGUCUGAGAGGAUGAUCAGCCACACUGGGACUGGGACACGGCCCAGACUCCUACGGGAGGCGGCAGUGGGGAAUAUAGGACAGUGGGCGGAAGCCUGAUCCAGCAAUGCCGCGUGAGUGAUGAAGGCCUUAGGGUUGUAAAGCUCUUUUACCCGGGAUGAUAAUGACGGUACCGGGAGAAUAAGCUCCGGCUAACUACGUG